UACGUAGGGUGCGAGCGUUGUCCGGAAUUAUGGGGCGUAAAGAGCUUGUAGGCGGUUUGUCGCGUCUGCUGUGAAAAUCCGGGGCUCAACCCCGGACUUGCAGUGGGUACGGGCAGACUAGAGUGUGGUAGGGGAGACUGGAAUUCCUGGUGUAGCGGUGGAAUGCGCAGAUAUCAGGAGGAACACCGAUGGCGAAGGCAGGUCUCUGGGCCACUACUGACGCUGAGAAGCGAAAGCAUGGGGAGCGAACAGG
Molecule: ribosomal RNA, 253 nt
Filed under: uncultured bacterium
Lineage: Bacteria
Description: partial 16S ribosomal RNA
Rfam family: Bacterial small subunit ribosomal RNA
Source: RNAcentral